AAACCGCCUAGAGGUAAACGGGUGGAUCCGCAAAAGUCGGCCCGCGGAAUUCAGCUCGGAAGGCCAGCGCCCGCCGCUUGUUUGGGAGAUUCGCUUGUGGACUCCCCGGGCGGUUGCCUUGGACGCAGGUGAUCCGUGUGCACUUUCCGCGGGCAGAGCGUCACGACCGGUUCUCGGGCGGUCAGACGGCGGCUGGGAAGGUAGGCGGGCGUCUUCGCGGGCGCUCGCUGUUACAGCCCAGCCUGUCCCGAUCCGCUUGGCUAGAGGACCGAGGAGCUGCCGCCGGCGCGAGGCCGCUUCGCUCCCCUCCCGGGAGGUUUACGACUGGUGGAGACUGGGUUCCGCCCGUGUCCGCCGACCGCUUUCCGGGAUGGGGCGGGGUGAGGGAGCCCGCCGGCUGAGGGUCAGUGGCGAAUCGGUCGGCCCUCCACCCGACCCGUCUUGAANNNNNNNNNNNNNNNNNNNNNNNNCGCGCGAGUCGUUGGGCAGUACGAAACCCGAAGGCGCAGUGAAAGCGAGGGCCACCUUCGCGGUGGCUAAGGUGGGAUCCGGUCCUCCGCGGCUGGCGCACCACCGGCCCGUCUCGACCGCGCUGUCGGUGAGGCGGAGCAGGAGCGUGCACGUUGGGACCCGAAAGAUGGUGAACUAUGCCUGAGUAGGACGAAGCCAGAGGAAACUCUGGUGGAGGUCCGCAGCGAUUCUGACGUGCAAAUCGAUCGUCAAACUUGGGUAUAGGGGCGAAAGACUAAUCGAACCAUCUAGUAGCUGGUUCCCUC
Molecule: ribosomal RNA, 776 nt
Filed under: Meganiphe rhecta
Lineage: Eukaryota; Metazoa; Mollusca; Gastropoda; Littorinimorpha; Annulariidae
Description: partial 28S ribosomal RNA
Rfam family: Eukaryotic large subunit ribosomal RNA (bases 463-776)
Source: RNAcentral